GGUGAACGCUGGCGGCGUGCCUAAUACAUGCAAGUCGAGCGAACAGAUGAGGAGCUUGCUCCUCUGACGUUAGCGGCGGACGGGUGAGUAACACGUGGAUAACCUACCUAUAAGACUGGGAUAACUUCGGGAAACCGGAGCUAAUACCGGAUAAUAUAUUGAACCGCAUGGUUCAAUAGUGAAAGACGGUUUUGCUGUCACUUAUAGAUGGAUCCGCGCCGCAUUAGCUAGUUGGUAAGGUAACGGCUUACCAGGGCAACGAUGCGUAGCCGACCUGAGAGGGUGAUCGGCCACACUGGAACUGAGACACGGUCCAGACUCCUACGGGAGGCAGCAGUAGGGAAUCUUCCGCAAUGGGCGAAAGCCUGACGGAGCAACGCCGCGUGAGUGAUGAAGGUCUUCGGAUCGUAAAACUCUGUUAUUAGGGAAGAACAAAUGUGUAAGUAACUAUGCACGUCUUGACGGUACCUAAUCAGAAAGCCACGGCUAACUACGUG
RNAcentral lists this ribosomal RNA (497 nucleotides) under uncultured bacterium. RNAcentral describes it as "partial 16S ribosomal RNA". It matches the Rfam family "Bacterial small subunit ribosomal RNA", at positions 28 to 507 of the family's 1533-position model. The record is from RNAcentral.